UGGGGAAUAUUGCACAAUGGACGAAAGUCUGAUGCAGCCAUGCCGCGUGAGUGAUGAAGGCCUUCGGGUUGUAAAGCUCUUUUGGCGGGGACGAUAAUGACGGUACCCGCAGAAUAAGCCCCGGCUAACUUCGUGCCAGCAGCCGCGGUAAUACGAAGGGGGCGAGCAUUGUUCGGAAUUACUGGGCGUAAAGGGUGCGUAGGCGGAUCGAUCAGUCAGAUGUGAAAGCCCAAGGCUCAACCUUGGAAUUGCAUUUGAUACUGUCAGUCUGGAGUAUUGGAGAGGAGCGUGGAAUUCUCAGUGUAGAGGUGAAAUUCGUAGAUAUUGAGAGGAACACCAGUGGCGUAGGCGACGCUCUGGCCAAAUACUGACGCUGAGGCACGAAAGUGUGGGGAGCAAACAGGAUUAGAUACCCUGGUAGUCCACACCGUAAACGAUGUGUGCUAGUCGUUGGGCAUAAGCUCAGUGACGCAGCUAACGCUUGAAGCACACCSCCUGGGGAGUACGGUCGCAAGAUUA
This 519-nucleotide ribosomal RNA is filed under the name uncultured Caulobacter sp. Its description in RNAcentral is "bacterial SSU rRNA". It matches the Rfam family "Bacterial small subunit ribosomal RNA", at positions 355 to 896 of the family's 1533-position model. Lineage: Bacteria; Pseudomonadati; Pseudomonadota; Alphaproteobacteria; Caulobacterales; Caulobacteraceae. The record is from RNAcentral.